CCUACGGGAGGCAGCAGUGAGGAAUAUUGGUCAAUGGGCGCGAGCCUGAACCAGCCAAGUCGCGUGAGGGAAGACGGUCCUAUGGAUUGUAAACCUCUUUUGUCGGGGAGCAAAAGACGCCACGCGUGGCGUUCCGAGAGUACCCGAAGAAAAAGCAUCGGCAAACUCCGUGCCAGCAGCCGCGGUAAUCCGGAGGAUGCGAGCGUUAACCGGAUGUAGUGGGGUAAGAGGGUGCGCAGGCGGAAGAUCAAGGCAGCGGUAAAAUUGAGAGGCUCAACCUCUUCGAGCUGUUGAAACUGGGUGUCUUGAGUGAGCGAGAAGUAUGCGGAAUGCGUGGUGUAGCGGUGAAAUGCAUAGAUAUCACGCAGAACUCCGAUUGCGAAGGCAGCAUACCGGCGCUCAACUGACGCUCAUGCACGAAAGUGUGGGUAUCGAACAGGAUUAGAUACCCGAGUAGUC
This 459-nucleotide ribosomal RNA is filed under the name uncultured bacterium. RNAcentral describes it as "partial 16S ribosomal RNA". It matches the Rfam family "Bacterial small subunit ribosomal RNA", at positions 338 to 795 of the family's 1533-position model. The record is from RNAcentral.